Long non-coding RNA from Oreochromis aureus, 246 nucleotides. RefSeq lists it as uncharacterized. Lineage: Eukaryota; Metazoa; Chordata; Actinopteri; Cichliformes; Cichlidae. The transcript has 3 exons. The record is from RefSeq and is a predicted model, not a curated record.
CCCUGCAACAAUCCCUAGCCAAGAAGAACAAGAACCAUCAACCACCAGUUCAGAAAAAUGAUAAUGAGGACACUGAAUCAGGAUCCAGUCCAGGAUCAGUUUGCACCUAAUUCAGGAGACCAGGCAGCGUUCUCUCAACCACAGGGUGGCACUGCUCACUGUAAAACAACAAACAGAGCCGUCAGUAUAUGGAGAGGCUGAAUUUAAUCUAUGGUCACUACUGAGCUGAUGAGUCUUCCAGUUAGA